This 1156-nucleotide ribosomal RNA is filed under the name marine metagenome. Its description in RNAcentral is "bacterial LSU rRNA". It matches the Rfam family "Bacterial large subunit ribosomal RNA", at positions 1796 to 2925 of the family's 2925-position model. The record is from RNAcentral.
GCGACUGUUUACCAAAAACACAGGUCUCCGCAAAGUCGUAAGACGAUGUAUGGGGGCUGACACCUGCCCAGUGCCAGAAGGUUAAAGAAGUUGGUUAGUUUCGACAAAGCUGACGACUGAAGCCCUGGUGAACGGCGGCAGUAACUAUAACUGUCCUAAGGUAGCGAAAUUCCUUGUCGGGUAAGUUCCGACCCGCACGAAAGGUGUAACGAUCUGGAUACUGUCUCAGAGAGAGGCUCGGUGAAAUAAAAAUAUCUGUGAAGAUGCGGAUUACCUGCACGCGGACAGAAAGACCCUAUGAAGCUUUACUGUAACCUGGAAUUGCUCUCAAGCUUAUUUUGCGCAGCUUAGGUGGGAGACGUUGAACUUCUUUUUCCGGAAAGGAGGGAGUCAUCAGUGAGAUACCACUCUUGGUAAGCUAGAGCGCUCAUUUCUAACCGUUAUCCGGUAGAAAGACAGUUUCAGGCGGGCAGUUUGACUGGGGCAGUCACCUCCCAAAGAGUAAUGGAGGUGUACAAAGGUUCGCUCAGGCUGGACGGAAAUCAGCCAUAGAGUGUAAAAGCAAAAGCGAGCUUGACUGCGAGACUGACAUGUCAAGCAGAGACGAAAGUCGGUUUUAGUGAUCCGACGGUGCUGAGUGGAAAGGCCGUCGCUCAACGGAUAAAAGUUACUCUAGGGAUAACAGGCUAAUCUCCCCCAAGAGUUCACAUCGACGGGGAGGUUUGGCACCUCGAUGUCGGCUUAUCGCAUCCUGGAGCGGAAGUACGUUCCAAGGGUUGGGCUGUUCGCCCAUAGAAAGCGGUACAUGAGCUGGGUUCAGAACGUCGUGAGACAGUUUGGUCCAUAUCCCGUGUAGGCGUUUAGAACAUUGAAAGGAUCUCCCCUUUGUACGAGAGGACCAGGUGGGGACAAUCCGCUAGUGUACCAGUUAUUCCGCCAGGAGUAAACGCUGGGUAGCUAUGAUUGGAGGAAAUAACUGCUGAAAGCAUAUAAGUAGGAAGUUCACCUUAAGAUGAGUGUUCUUUUGUCAUUGAACAAUUGUUCAUACAAGACAGAGAAGGUCAUGGGAAGACUACCCAUUUGAUAGGCGUAAUGUAGACGCUCAGUAAUGAGUUUUGAAGCUGAUACGUACUAAUAGACCGAAGGAUUUGAUUUU